UACGUAGGGUGCAAGCGUUGUCCGGAAUUAUUGGGCGUAAAGAGCUCGUAGGCGGUUUGUCGCGUCUGGUGUGAAAACUCAGGGCUUAACCCUGAGCCUGCAGUGGGUACGGGCAGACUAGAGUGUGGUAGGGGAGAUCGGAAUUCCUGGUGUAGCGGUGGAAUGCGCAGAUAUCAGGAGGAACACCGGUGGCGAAGGCGGAUCUCUGGGCCAUGACUGACGCUGAGGAGCGAAAGCGUGGGGAGCGAACAGG
This 253-nucleotide ribosomal RNA is filed under the name uncultured bacterium. RNAcentral's name for it is "partial 16S ribosomal RNA". It matches the Rfam family "Bacterial small subunit ribosomal RNA", at positions 524 to 776 of the family's 1533-position model. The record is from RNAcentral.